This 903-nucleotide long non-coding RNA is filed under the name Olea europaea subsp. europaea. The record is from RNAcentral. Lineage: Eukaryota; Viridiplantae; Streptophyta; Magnoliopsida; Lamiales; Oleaceae.
AUCAUCUUCCACCUCUACGCUAUCUCCAUCCAAACCAACUUCUACUCUACCCAAAACCAAACCCCUGCUACCUAUUACGUCUACAGCCGCCUAUCGCCAUCGUCGACACCGCCAUCACUUACGGCCCUAAUCGUCACCAUCGCCACGAUUGUCACCAUCACUUCCAACAUAGCAAAAUCCGCAAAUAACAAUCACAACACAGUAAAAUCUAAAACCAAACCCUUGCUACCUAUCGUCAUCUACAACCCGCCCGUCACUGCCACCAUCGCCCAUGGCCACCACCAUUAAAACCAAUACAAAGCAAAAUCCCUAAAUCACAAUCACAACACGAAACAAAACCUAAAACCAAUCCCAUGCUACCCAUUGUUGUCCACAGCUGCCAGCCGUUGCCCCAUCGCCAUCAUCAUCCACAGCUUCUAGUACAACUGCCAACAGAAAGCAAAAUCCCCAAAUCACAAUCAUGGAUCACAAUAACACAAUGCAAAACCCUUAAAUCAACCUCUAUAUUGAUCAAAUGAUUUAUUGACCCUUAAACUUCCUUUCGCUACCAAAUUGAUAGGUUUAGCUGGAGUCGACACACCCAUCACCCAUGUUACGCGAAGCUUAAAAUCAAGAACUUUCCUUCACGAACAUCUCUCCUUCUCCUAUGUACCGAUACCACAUACGACCCACCAGAUUCCCCCACUUUCAUCACAGGCUUCCACCACGACCCCUCGCCCUUCGCCACCUUUCAAGCGAGCAUAUGAGAAGAGGAUUUGGAGAAAUGAAUGAUAAUGAGAAAAGAAGUUUGAAAGAGUGGAGAAAAUGACGGUGGCAUGACACCCAGAGGGUGGCACGUUCGACAGUCGGUGGCAGUGGUAACGAGAUUGAUUUUUCCCAUUUUUCGGUAGGUGAGGGUGGAAU